This 458-nucleotide ribosomal RNA is filed under the name uncultured Anaerovibrio sp. Its description in RNAcentral is "bacterial SSU rRNA". It matches the Rfam family "Bacterial small subunit ribosomal RNA", at positions 341 to 792 of the family's 1533-position model. The record is from RNAcentral. Lineage: Bacteria; Bacillati; Bacillota; Negativicutes; Selenomonadales; Selenomonadaceae.
ACGGAAGGCAGCAGUGGGGAAUCUUCCGCAAUGGGCGAAAGCCUGACGGAGCAACGCCGCGUGAGUGGAGAAGGUCUUCGGAUCGUAAAGCUCUGUUGGGAGGGACGAGAGAUUACUUCAGGAAAUGGGAGUAAGAGGACGGUACCUUUCGAGGAAGCCACGGCUAACUACGUGCCAGCAGCCGCGGUAAUACGUAGGUGGCGAGCGUUGUCCGGAAUUAUUGGGCGCAAAGGGAGCGCAGGUGGGACUUCAAGUCAGUCUUAAAAGUGCGGGGCUCAACCCCGUGAUGGGAUUGAAACUGUAGUUCUCGAGUGCAGGAGAGGAAAGCGGAAUUCCUAGUGUAGCGGUGAAAUGCGUAGAUAUUAGGAGGAACACCAGUGGCGAAGGCGGCUUUCUGGACUGUAACUGACACUGAGGCUCGAAAGCGUGGGGAGCGAACAGGAUUAGAUACCCUGGUA